AAAUCCCGAAAAAGAAAUGAUGAUUUAAUAUGCCAAGUGUUAAACAACAAAAUUUUCCAAGUCACUUUUUCAUACCGUAAACAACAGUUUUAAUUAAAAACUAUUUUGAGACCCCAAACAAAUAAGGGUGUUUGCAUCAUUUGACCUGCGCUACUUACCAUAGAUCAAUUUUCUAGAAUAUCAGUGAUAGUUCAUGAUUCCAAUUCCAAAAAAAGAUAUUUACUUGAGUGAAAUGAUAUUUUCAAAAUAGGCAUAAAAAAACCUAUAAAAAUAGGAAAAACAUUUUAAAAAUGUGGUUAAAAAAGUAUUGAAAAUAAUUUGUUGCAGAGGUGUUUUAAAAAUAAUUCAAAAAAGGAAAAGUGUAAAAAUAAAUACUCGUGGCCAAAAAACACUAUCGAAUAUUUGCCGAAAUGAAAGAAAAUUAAAAAAAAACAUAUUACAUAUAAAUAUUUCAUUAAUUUUAUUCAUUAUAAUAUUUUUUUGAAUUUUUUUAAUAUCCCAGAGUUAGACCACCCAAAUGGGGGAUAUUCAGGCUCGCCAAGGUGGGGAGUCCGAGUUGGCUUGCCCAACUAAUCAAACACUGAUUUUUCUUCAAAAAAAAAAAAGAAAAAAGAAAAAAAAAAGGUGGAGAGUGUGAGAAGGAAGAUUACCGAGUCCAUAAGAUUUGGAGGUGCAGGUGUAGCAAGUUAAAACUAGUAGAAGAAGAAUGAGAGGAGUGUGGUAUGCAGCACUUAAGUGAGCCAUGGUUGCCACCUUCUUCUUGCCAAAUACACAAGGAGGGUUCGGAAAGAGUCCACAAUUUAUAACCAAGCCC
RNAcentral lists this long non-coding RNA (814 nucleotides) under Amborella trichopoda. Its description in RNAcentral is "long non-coding RNA (ATRI_LNC002607)". Lineage: Eukaryota; Viridiplantae; Streptophyta; Magnoliopsida; Amborellales; Amborellaceae. The record is from RNAcentral.